Molecule: ribosomal RNA, 252 nt
Filed under: uncultured bacterium
Lineage: Bacteria
Description: partial 16S ribosomal RNA
Rfam family: Bacterial small subunit ribosomal RNA
Source: RNAcentral
AGCGAACGCUGGCGGCAGGCUUAACACAUGCAAGUCGAGCGCCCGUAGCAAUACGGGAGCGGCAGACGGGUGAGUAACGCGUGGGAACAUGCCCUUCGGUUCGGAAUAACCCAGGGAAACUUGGGCUAAUACCGAAUACGUCCGUGAGGAGAAAGAUUUAUCGCCGAAGGAUUGGCCCGCGUCGGAUUAGCUAGUUGGUGAGGUAACGGCUCACCAAGGCGAUGAUCCGUAGCUGGUCNGAGAGGACGAUCA